Molecule: transfer RNA, 72 nt
Filed under: Sphaerodactylus townsendi
Lineage: Eukaryota; Metazoa; Chordata; Lepidosauria; Squamata; Sphaerodactylidae
Description: tRNA-Val
Source: RNAcentral
GGGGCCAUGGCUCAGUGGCAGAGAACCUGCUCCACAUGCAAAAGGUCCCAGGUUCGAUACCCGGAAUCUCCA